AGGAUAAACGCUGGCGGCGUGCCUAACACAUGCAAGUCGAACGCGCUUGCUAUCCGCGAGGACGGUGAGCGAGUGGCGGACGGGUGAGGAACACGUGGGUGACCUACCUUUCAGUGAGGGAUACCGGCGAGAAAUUGCCGACAAGACCGCAUACGCUUCUCUUUUCAAGGGGAGAAGGAAAGCUUUUCGCAAGAGAGGCGCUGGGAGAUGGGCCUGCGGCCGAUUAGCUAGCUGGUGGGGUAAUGGCCUACCAGGGCGACGAUCGGUAGCUGGUCUGAGAGGACGAUCAGCCACACUGGGAUUGAGAACGGCCCAGACUCCUACGGGGGGCAGCAGUGAGGAAUUUUCGGCAAUGGGGGCAACCCUGACCGAGCAACGCCGCGUGCAGGACGACGGCCUUCGGGUUGUAAACUGCUUUUCUCUGGGACGAGCAAGGACGGUACCAGAGGAAGAAGCCCGGCUAACUACGUGCCAGCAGCCGC
This 482-nucleotide ribosomal RNA is filed under the name uncultured bacterium. Its description in RNAcentral is "SSU rRNA". It matches the Rfam family "Bacterial small subunit ribosomal RNA", at positions 26 to 518 of the family's 1533-position model. The record is from RNAcentral.